GCUCUGGAGAAGCCCGCCCAGCGCGGGUGCCGAAGGUGUAACACAACGGAAUGGUUGUGGAUCUCUCAGGCCAAAGGACAGAGCUG
Molecule: non-coding RNA, 86 nt
Filed under: pig gut metagenome
Description: Glycine riboswitch
Rfam family: Glycine riboswitch aptamer
About the family: This family represents the bacterial glycine riboswitch. Glycine riboswitches usually consist of two metabolite-binding aptamers domains with similar structures in tandem. The aptamers cooperatively bind glycine to regulate the expression of downstream genes.
Source: RNAcentral